AGUGAACGCUGGCGGUAGGCCUAACACAUGCAAGUCGAACGGCAGCACAGUAAGAGCUUGCUCUUACGGGUGGCGAGUGGCGGACGGGUGAGGAAUACAUCGGAAUCUACUUUUUCGUGGGGGAUAACGUAGGGAAACUUACGCUAAUACCGCAUACGACCUACGGGUGAAAGCAGGGGAUCUUCGGACCUUGCGCGAUUGAAUUAGCCGAUGUCGGAUUAGAUAGUUGGCGGGGUAAAGGCCCACCAAGGCGACGAUCCGUAGCUGGUCUGAGAGGAUGGUCGCCGGCCUGGGAGGUGAGCCAGCCACCAGGGGCCUAAGGGAGGGACCAGACGGGUACGGUAGGCAACGGUGGGAAGUAUGGUACAACGAGCGGAAGCCGGAGACGGCAGCCUCGCGGUCGUGAUGACGGCUUGCUGGGAGAAAACAGCUUCCGCCUGAGACGAAGCUGGUGUGACGGUACUGAAUAAAUAAGCACCGGCUAACUACGUG
This 492-nucleotide ribosomal RNA is filed under the name uncultured bacterium. RNAcentral's name for it is "partial 16S ribosomal RNA". It matches the Rfam family "Bacterial small subunit ribosomal RNA", at positions 30 to 507 of the family's 1533-position model. The record is from RNAcentral.